GCCGAAGUGGUGGAAUUGGUAGACACGCCAUCUUGAGGGGGUGGUGGGCUUCGCCCGUGCUGGUUCGACUCCAGUCUUCGGCACCA
This 86-nucleotide transfer RNA is filed under the name Gammaproteobacteria bacterium. RNAcentral describes it as "tRNA-Leu". It matches the Rfam family "tRNA". From Rfam's summary of the family: Transfer RNA (tRNA) molecules are approximately 80 nucleotides in length. Their secondary structure includes four short double-helical elements and three loops (D, anti-codon, and T loops). RNAcentral also lists the same sequence under 2 other names. Lineage: Bacteria; Pseudomonadati; Pseudomonadota; Gammaproteobacteria. The record is from RNAcentral.